RNAcentral lists this ribosomal RNA (1191 nucleotides) under uncultured organism. RNAcentral describes it as "bacterial SSU rRNA". It matches the Rfam family "Bacterial small subunit ribosomal RNA", at positions 117 to 1293 of the family's 1533-position model. The record is from RNAcentral.
AUGGUUAACAUACCCUGGAGACCGGGAUAACUUGCUGAAAGGCGGGCUAAUACCGGAUGGUUUCCCACGGGAAUAAACGGCGGGGCUCCUUCGGGACCUGCUGCUCCAGGAGUGGACCAUGUCCCAUCAGUUAGUUGGUGAGGUAAGAGCUCACCAAGGCAAUGACGGGUAGCUGGUCUGAGAGGAUGGUCAGCCACACUGGGACUGAGACACUGCCCAGACUUCUACGGGAGGCUGCAGUCGAGAAUCAUCCGCAAUGGGCGCAAGCCUGACGGUGCGACGCCGCGUGAAGGAUGAAGGCCUUCGGGUUGUAAACUUCUAACACGGGUUAAGAAACGCCUGGCAUUAAUAGUGUCGGGUUUGACGUAACCCCGAGAUGAAGCACUGGCUAACUCCGUGCCAGCAGCCGCGGUAAUACGGAGAGUGCAAGCGUUACUCGGAAUCACUGGGCUUAAAGGACACGUAGGCGGCCUCGUAAGUCAGUUGUGAAAGCUCUCGGCUCAACCGAGGAACUGCAGCUGAUACUGCGAAGCUAGAGGACGGUAGGGGAGAGCGGAACUCUUGGUGGAGCGGUGAAAUGCGUAGAUAUCAAGGGGAACACCGGUGGCGAAGGCGGCUCUCUGGUCCGUUACUGACGCUGAGGUGUGAAAGCCAGGGUAGCGAACGGGAUUAGAUGCCCCGGUAGUCCUGGCCCUAAACGAUGAGCACUAGGUAGUGGAAGCCCUGCGUUUUCACUGCUGUAGCGAAAGCGUUAAGUGCUCCGCCUGGGGAGUACGGUCGCAAGGCUGAAACUCAAAGGAAUUGACGGGGGCUCACACAAGCGGUGGAGCAUGUGGUUUAAUUCGAGGCAACGCGAAGAACCUUACCCGGGUUUGACAUGCAAGGAUUAGCUUCCUGAAAGGGAAGUGACGCCUUUCGGGGUGGAACUUGCACAGGUGCUGCACGGCUGUCGUCAGCUCGUGCCGUGAGGUGUUGGGUUAAGUCCCGUAACGAGCGAAACCCUUGUCGUUAGUUGCCAGCGGGUAAAGCCGGGGACUCUAACGAGACUGCCGUUGUUAAGACGGAGGAAGGUGGGGACGACGUCAAGUCAUCAUGGCCCUUAUGUCCGGGGCUACACACGUGCUACAAUGGCCGGUACAGAGGGUAGCGAAGUCGAGAGGCGGAGCUAAUCUCAGAAAGCCGGUCCCAGUU